This is a small nucleolar RNA of Phoenix dactylifera (date palm), 80 nucleotides long. RefSeq annotates it as small nucleolar RNA U83. The record is from RefSeq and is a predicted model, not a curated record. NCBI's taxonomy places the organism in Eukaryota, Viridiplantae, Streptophyta, Magnoliopsida, Arecales, Arecaceae.
AGUCUGUGAUGAAGAUUGUGGAAUUUGUUUUGUCUGAAAUUUUGUGAUUACAAUCCUACUACUGCCUUCCUUCUGAGGCU